UAGGGAAUCUUCCACAAUGGACGAAAGCCUGAUGGAGCAACGCCGCGUGAGUGAAGAAGGUUUUCGGAUCGUAAAGCUCUGUUGUUGGUGAAGAAGGAUAGAGGCAGUAACUGGUCUUUAUUGACGGUAUCAACCAGAAAGUCACGGCUAACUACGUGCCAG
RNAcentral lists this ribosomal RNA (162 nucleotides) under uncultured bacterium. Its description in RNAcentral is "partial 16S rRNA". It matches the Rfam family "Bacterial small subunit ribosomal RNA", at positions 355 to 511 of the family's 1533-position model. The record is from RNAcentral.